This 155-nucleotide ribosomal RNA is filed under the name uncultured bacterium. RNAcentral's name for it is "partial 16S ribosomal RNA". It matches the Rfam family "Bacterial small subunit ribosomal RNA", at positions 1346 to 1500 of the family's 1533-position model. The record is from RNAcentral.
AGGCCUGCAUACUGCCGUGAAUACGUUCCCGGGCCUUGUACACACCGCCCGUCACACCAUGAGAGUUGGGAAUACCCGAAGCCUGUGAGCUAACAUUAAGAGGCAGCAGUCGAAGGUAGAAUCAAUGAUUGGGGGUGAAGUCGUAACAAGGUAUC